RNAcentral lists this ribosomal RNA (248 nucleotides) under uncultured bacterium. RNAcentral describes it as "partial 16S ribosomal RNA". It matches the Rfam family "Bacterial small subunit ribosomal RNA", at positions 85 to 334 of the family's 1533-position model. The record is from RNAcentral.
CUGAUGGCGACCGGCGCACGGGUGAGUAACACGUAUCCAACCUGCCUCAUACUCGGGGAUAGCCUUUCGAAAGAAAGAUUAAUAUCCGAUAGCAUAUAUUUCCCGCAUGGGUUUUAUAUUAAAGAAAUUCGGUAUGAGAUGGGGAUGCGUUCCAUUAGUUUGUUGGGGGGGUAACGGCCCACCAAGACUACGAUGGAUAGGGGUUCUGAGAGGAAGGUCCCCCACAUUGGAACUGAGACACGGUCCAA